GACGAACGCUGGCGGCGUGCUUAACACAUGCAAGUCGAACGGAAAGGCCCUGCUUUUGUGGGGUGCUCGAGUGGCGAACGGGUGAGUAACACGUGAGUAACCUGCCCUUGACUUUGGGAUAACUUCAGGAAACUGGGGCUAAUACCGGAUAGGAGCUCCUGCUGCAUGGUGGGGGUUGGAAAGUUUCGGCGGGUGGGGAUGGACUCGCGGCUUAUCAGCUUGUUGGUGGGGGAGUGGCUUACCAAGGGUUUGACGGGUAGCCGGCCUGGGAGGGUGACCGGGCACCUUGGGACUGCGAUACGGCCCAGACUCCUACGGGAGGCAGCAGGGGGGAGUAUUGCACAAUGGGCGGACGCCUGAUGCAGCAACGCCGCGUGCGGGAUGACGGCCUUCGGGUUGUAAACCGCUUUCGCCUGUGACGAAGCGUGAGUGACGGUAAUGGGUAAAGAAGCACCGGCUAACUACGUG
RNAcentral lists this ribosomal RNA (468 nucleotides) under uncultured bacterium. RNAcentral describes it as "partial 16S ribosomal RNA". It matches the Rfam family "Bacterial small subunit ribosomal RNA", at positions 28 to 507 of the family's 1533-position model. The record is from RNAcentral.